Molecule: long non-coding RNA, 278 nt
Filed under: Setaria italica (foxtail millet)
Lineage: Eukaryota; Viridiplantae; Streptophyta; Magnoliopsida; Poales; Poaceae
Description: long non-coding RNA (SITA_LNC000902)
Source: RNAcentral
UUUUUUUUAAAAAAGCAUCUUCCACAUCUUAUAUUACCCCAUAUUUUUUUAUUUGCUCUCGGUGCAGCUUCUUGUUUAAAAAAGAAAAAAAAUCUUUUUUAUUUGCUCCCAGCACCACACCACCUGCAGGCGCACGAGUUAGCAAGGAAUCCGGUCCACAGAAGUUGCGUGCUACUUGACAUGCACAUGAGCGAUAUUCUACUGUCAACCACGCUUUUUAGCUUAGCCUCUAGGAAAGAAAGCUUUGCAAACACCAUCAUCGGAUUAGUUGCUGAUAG